UACGUAGGGGGCAAGCGUUGUCCGGAUUUAUUGGGCGUAAAGAGCUCGUAGGCGGUUCGGUACGUCGGAUGUGAAAUCUCCAGGCUCAACCUGGAGGGGUCAUUCGAUACUGCCGUGACUAGAGUUCGGUAGGGGAGUGUGGAAUUCCUGGUGGAGCGGUGAAAUGCGCAGAUAUCAGGAAGAACACCCGUGGCUAAGGCGGUUCUCUAGUACGGUACUGACGCUGAGACGCGAAAGCGUGGGGAGCGAACAGG
RNAcentral lists this ribosomal RNA (254 nucleotides) under uncultured bacterium. RNAcentral describes it as "partial 16S ribosomal RNA". It matches the Rfam family "Bacterial small subunit ribosomal RNA", at positions 524 to 776 of the family's 1533-position model. The record is from RNAcentral.